UUGGUGCCCUGCCCCCACGACAAAUUUUGGGCAUGCAGUACGCAUGACAGGAAGCCCAAAAGCACAUGGCGGUAACUUCAAUUUAUCUCAUCUUUCUGUGGAAUUAUUUUACAUGUUGCUACUAGGCUGUUAAGGAGUUGAAUGUUAGCUAAUGUCAACAGCAAGUAACCGAUAACAGCACAUCCACAUGUGGUCCUUCCAAUCCUGCCUGGUGUGUGCUGGAGGAAUCAGAAGUAAUCAGAGUCACCAAGUCAAAGUCAGCUGCCAUGAUGCAUACUUGUAUACAUGUACAUGCGCAUGGUGAUCAGGACCUCUUGAUGAGACCAUGAUAUUUGUCAGUCUGGCUCUGCAUCACUCCAGCACCUUGUUAUUCUCCUGAGUAAACCAGAUGUUUGCCAUCAGCGUUAGCUCACCAUUUACCAUGGAUGGCAGUAGCCAUGAGUUACAGUGUACAUGAUUCCAUGAUACCUCACGCCGGUACACAUCUACAUGCCACACCUCUGCAUGAUUUCAAGCAGGAAAGUGGACCCUGAGUUCAGCUCCAGAAACCUCCCCACAACAGCUGUCAAGAUCUGAUACCAUUCUGAAGUAAUCUUCAUACAGGGCAGCUCUGGACAUUUAGAGACUUGUCUUGGAACAACUGAAGCACCCUGGUAAUCUCCUGCUCUCUGGCAAUCAGCAGCAGAGUUCAUGCAUUUCUUGACUUGGUUCCUGCCCAUGAUGUGCAUUUGUAUGUGUGACAUCUCAACGCAAUGGUAACUGCUAGGAUUUGUGUUGAUAUGCAGCUUUGAAUAUGUGAGCCGUUCUGCACGUACAUGUAGUUACACAGCAACCAUUGGCCAACGUGACGUUCUUCACUGUUUAGCAGUGGAGCUCUUCCAGUCUUUGCAGCAUGGUAUACAUGGUGCCCAAUUUUACUUUGAUGCAUGUCUGCAUCAACGCAUGGUCAACAUGGCCGUGGCAACAAAAGCACUGCUUGGAAUUGUUGGAAAUAAGAAAUCUAUAGCUCACAGAUGACCUUUUUUGGAUGAGUUCUGUGGAUGACUAAGUCUUCCCCGACUGAAGCUCCUCACUUACCACUGGAUAAUCUGGAGUGUAACUCUAAUAUGUGUGUGAGAGAAACAUGACAUGAUACCUUCAAAGGCUCCCAGCACAGGGGAAGUCAUUGAAAUAUUCACUGGAUACACUGUAACCAGCUCACUUGAGGCUUUAACAUGGUCAUCAAGUCCUCACUAGAAGCACAGCAUGAUUCCCAACAGGAUACCAGGCUCGUCAUACAUCACAGGCAGCCACCAACCAUAUCUCAUCCCUGCUGAAAACUUACAAUGCCAUGACAAGAUACAGUACCUGUAACAUCGGGGAGCCAAAUUCAGCCAUUGAAGUGGAGAUGUUCAGCCAGAGGAAUACACAAUCAGGGGAUAAUUAGUUGAAGCUGCCAGACGAGUUGGAUCACCUCGACCAAUGCUGUCAAAAUUUGAGCUGCAUAGAAAUCCACAUAUAAAUUAUUUGAUCUGACAUCAGUAUGCAUUCUUGAUGUAUGGAAAUUGAAGGAUCCAUCUCGCAGAACUGGAAAUCGAACACUUGUGUGUUACCAGUGACUCCGUGAUGAAGGACUGUGAACUUUUGCAAUGAACAUUUGAAAAAAAACAAUAGUGCCAUUUACAUGUAUGGCAAAAUACAUGUACUUGUAAAACCAAGCCUCACAGCCUCAACACUGUUGCUUUGAAGGACUUCGCUUUAAGUAAUGGAAUUGGCAGAAGAACAAGAAAUUACUGUUCAGUCGCUCAAAGCAGCCUGAUUCUUAUUCCUACAUGUAUAUUUCUUCAAAGCAAAUGCCACACCACAAGCUCCAAAUCUUUCAGUCAAAUAUUCAUUAUACAUGUACAUGUAAUCUACAGUAUGGUGUGCAUUCUUGAAGUCCUUCAGCCUUCCAAGGGCAUUCUGAGCAAUUCUUAAAACAACUUGAAGGCGUUGCUCAGUUUUCACGUUCACAGAGAGUGUUAUCAUCUAAAACCUGUGCAUGUAGCUCUGCACUGCACUCCAAAACUUCUUUGUGAGGCUUGGUUUUUUUUUCAGUGACCAUUUCCUAUUGUUGCCUGUUGUGGCUGGGUACUGGAUUGGUAAAUGAAUCUUUGUUCUUCGUGGCUUGCAGAAAGUGUCAAGUGCACAAGUUUUUAGGAAAAUAAACAAAGUACAUCUUAAUUUCUUUGUGAAACACAAAACUUACAGGGUUGUUUGCACCUUGAACUGUAUAGGGUACAAUGUAUGCACGUACAUGUGCACGUACGGUAGAUAUAUUCAUGUGUCUAUUUGAAUUCUUGUAAAUUUUUUCAAUAUCUUCCAAAAUCUGAGCAUGAUAACCAUGUGUAGACUCCAAACAGGAGGACCCGCAUUUACCAAUCUGGUACCUGGCAGUAAUGUGUAUAAUCAGCACUGGCACAAACCAAAAAAGGAAACCAAUGCAUAUAAGUUACAUGUAGGUUUAUUGAAUUUUCAGGCACAUUUAUGUACUACAGAGCAAUGUGAAAAGCAAUUCCUGAAAAAUAGAUCUCAACCAGUAUUUAUUUUUGACCACUUUAAAUUGGACUAUUUUGGUAAUGUAGGGCAACUUAUGAUGGAAAGAAUGCAUGAAUCAAUAGUCUAUUUCCAUAUGUAGGAGUUAUGAUAAAGAACAUCAAUAAGGCAUAAAUCACAACCAUUUUUUUUUUCAGUCUUUUACCAUGUUUACCUGUAAAAUACAAACUCUAAAUUCAAUCUCAAAAUUUAGUGGUAAGCUACCAGUACAAAGACAUUUCAAGAAACCUCAUUUUAUUUAAAAAUUAAUACUUGUGAAACUUGAUUUACUCAGUUUCUUCAGAAACGAUUACCUUAGGAUGGUAUCUACAUUUCCUGUGAUUUAUCAUUUCAAACUCAUCCACGUUGUCAAUUGUUAAAUUGCAACCCAUAAUUCCAAACCCAAGUUGCUUCUCAUCUUUUAGAAAAAUUUUAGAUUCUAUCCAUUUGUCAGAUCAAACUUUUUAAAGUUGAAACUGUUUAAAGCAAUUAGAAUUUAUUGCAGUUGGUGCCAAGUGCUGAUUAUACACCACAGAGCUGCUGUUUUAACACUGCAAUCUGCUCUUCACCAACAGGCACUCUCAAAAUCUCUCGAAGCACCCUAGCGCAUACAAGUCCCCCCUGGUGUGGGCUGCGUGUUCCCCGUCCACAGGCGCCGACAGGUUCCGGUGAGUUGCCCUGCUGCAUAACUUGCGAUUGGUUUGUUCGGGAUGUGUCCAACUCUUAUUCAUGGAUGCUUCAGUCAAUGCAGCGGGGUAAGGAUCCUCUGGACUCUUACAACUGGUUUAUUUUUCCACCAAAAAAAAUGUAUCCAUCCACCACUCCAAACUGUUGCAAAUUGAUGAGACAUUCUGCAUCUGCUCUGAAAUUGCUCGCUGGAUGUUUCAAGAAUUCCAUGGUAUUGUGGUCUUUGAUCAAUUGAACUGAAAACUUGCGAUUGGUUACUUUUUUUGGCUUUUCUCUGUUUUUUAAAACGUUGUUGGAUACAAGGUCAGCAUUCUUUGCUCCUUUAAUGGGUUACUUCCAUGGUAUAGCUCUUUGUCAACACCUUCCAUCGGAAAGUUGUGAUUGACAUGUUCCAUUUUGCGCAAGCAAAGUUUUAAUUAAAAAAGCAAGAGUCCCAUUUUUGAUGGUACAUGUACCAAAUAAAAACUGUGCUGUUUUGCGCACAGAAUGUCAGUAAGGAACACAAUGUACCCUAAGUAUACACGUACCUAUCAAGACAAGUGAUUAACUGCAGCUAAAUGUUCAUUUUUGGAAAGAUAAACGGCAAAACAUUGCCAGGUAUAUACCCCAUCUAAGGCAGCACAGUUGAAAAGCAAUCCCUUAUUAAAAGGGGACAUUCAAUCAAAAUGUUGAAGUUUGCUAUUUGACUUUAUAUUGGCUCAAGAAUACACUUCUUGUUACUGAAAAUGAAGUCUCAACAGAAAGCAAAGGUACACGUACAAAAAAUGUGUACGUAUCAUUUUCCAGUUUUUGAUCUUAGUGCUCUCUGCUUUGCUAUCCUGAAUUUGAAGUGUCAGUGAAACAGGAAAAACUACGUCCUUAAAAAUGUGCCCAAAACGUCUUCUCUCAGUUUGAAAUUAAAAGUGAGUGCCCUUCUCUCAUAGUCUCUGCAGUGUUUUGUAUUGCUUCACACUUUCAGAAAAUAGUGUCUGUAAGAGCCAUUUUUCUGCAUUAAAAAUUAAAAACGGCAAAAGCACUUGAAGAGGUGAAAGAGACAUGACAUCGAAACUGCUGUGGAGAAGUCUGGUGUGCUGAAAGGGAAAAAUGUGCUGUUUUUUUCUUGGUGGGUGAUGGGCCCAGGCUGUUCACUCAGAUAGUAGAGGGGUCACAUGCUCAAUCAGAGGAAAAUCUGGUGAAAAAACCUCCAAAGGAACUGUGGUCAUUUCACAAAUGCUGUUUGUUGAUUUUUAAUUCAAGUCAAUUUGAUGCAGCAUUGCUCAUGCGUGGAAGUUUAAGCGAUCAAAAAAAAAAAAAAAAAAACCACAUUAGUAAAUUUUCUUCAGCUUUCAUCUGCCUUUCAGAAGGACAGAUGACAAAUUGUAGAUAAUAUUAAGGUGGCCAUUCACCUUGAGAAAGUUGGUGAAAUGUUAGUUCCGCACAGGAUGAGACUUCAGGGAACUUACCCAUAAUUCAAGAUGGGGUAGAGAAAGUGAAAGUGAAAAAUAGAAGGAAAAAAGUGUGUGUGCCCCUCAAUCGGUAGAGUGAAUGGCCUGGGAGAUUGGGUAGCCAAUCUGCCUUUCAGUAUCCUAUACAGAAACUGUGGCAUCGACACGGGGAGCCAGUCCCGGUUAAAGGGUCCAUGGUAAGUUUAAUUGAAGUUUGUGGUAUUAAUUCAUGCACCAGUGGAAAUACAUCCUCAUGUGUGUUAAAACCCAGAGUACAAAUGGCAAGGAGUAGGAGUCUAAAUAAACGGCGACAGAAUUGCAUAGAUGGUCUUCAGUCUUUGGCAGUACCUUCUUUGGAUUACUAAGGAGAGAAAACUUGAUCAAGGCAUUGACAAUAAUUGAUUCCAUUGAACAAUAUAAUGUCUUCAAAUUUCGGUCUUAUGGCUGACAAAAACUGAGGGAUGUUCUCAGUGACACAGAAUCGUGUCUGCGUUAAUAGUAUGUCGUUAUACUGCCUGCUUUUUUCCAAUCCUACAUGUACUCGUACAUGCACUUCAUUUCAAGCUGCCUGCAGAAGCAGAGACUUGGAGAGCUAAUGCAAUAUCAAACGGGGAUGAUAGUCCCUGAGAGAUCAGUGUUGGCCAGCUCGACACAUCUGUGUCAUGGUAAAGAUGUAGCCUUAUGCUCAGGUGGAGCUACAGCAGGCACUCUGUAUAGACACCCUAUUAAAGCUGGGUGAAGUGAGUCCAAUCUAGCACAGUGACGUGCUUCAGAAAGCCGUGAGAAAGGACAAGAAGAGCAGCUGAAUAACAUUGCCCCUCAGACGGCUAACAAUGCCGCUGUGUCCUGUGACAGUGACAACUUGACGUUUGUCUAUUCUCCAGAGAGUUCCAUUUGGCCAUUCAGAGCCAUUUUGAUGAGGUGGCCGAUCAUUGCAAUGUGUCAGUUUUUUUCAGUUUCCUCUGUUAAAGUGGCUUGUUUUUUGACGUGACAAGCCCAACACAGAGCGAUUUAAUUCAGUCCCUCCCUCGAGCUACCAGUAUUGUCAAUGCCUUGAUCAAGUAACACGCUUGAAAUGAGCAUUAGCGCUUAUUUGUGGCCCUUCAGCAAAUAAUACUAUUGCUGAAAAAAUGAGCAUAGAUGGAGAGAUAGCAGCCCUGAAAGCUGUCUUUGGUCAUGGUGAAUUCAGUAUCCACAACGAAAGAUUGAAAUGUGUGUCAUGGUAGCCUGCUUGUAAUAAGGCAAAUAAAGCUGUUAAACUCCCUGUACAGUAUCCUGUUGUCUCUGGUUUAAAAACCAAGAGAGGCUGUUCAAAAUCUGCUAAGUGAAAAUUUGGUUGGAAAAAAGUCCAUAACGACCAUCAAUUUCAACAGAAGAAUGCAUACGUGCACCGUGUGUACAGGUCUGGUUGAGUACCUGAUUUCAUGGUCAAAGAUUGACCAAUUUCUGUAUUAUUUCCAAGAGGUAGAUUUAACAGAAUGGGAAUUUAUGCAGUGAUGCUGAAUACUCGGAUCAAAAUAUUCCACUUUGUCAGAUUGUCUAAGUUGAAUCAAAUAGUGAAUCAAACUCUCACUGAUCAGUUCUUUUUCCCCCUUUUGGCAGCGCACCCUAAUCCAAAGACAUCAAUACAAAAUCUGUUGAUGUUUUGGUGUUGCAAACUUGAGUUGCAAAUUCUGUGAGAGAAAAAAAAAGACUUUUCAGGGCUUUCGGACAUGAAACGUCAAUUUUCAAAUAAAAAAAAGAUGUUGCCAGAGACUGAAGACCAUCAUGCACCAUGCAUGAAGGGCAUCUUAUCCUUUUGGUCCAAAUGUACAUGUAUUUCCGGUAAAUAUGGCAGCUGUUUGUUAUGUUUUAGGGGCCAAGUUUUCUUUAAGUGAAAGGGUUUAGUAGCCAGCAACUUUAUUCUCAAGCUCAAACUUAAAAAAAAAAAAUUCUGAGUUCGAGAUUUAUAAAGCAGAUGACUACCUUCAAAUCACCUUUGCGAUCAUGCUGUUUUGUACUGAGAUUUAGAUCUAAAAGCUCAAAUGCUAACUAAUACCAGCACUUGUGCGCUGGUUUCAAUAUAAAUCCAAAAACUAGUCACCCUGUUAUCUACACAUAGGUGUUUGAGACAAAAAAAAGUGAUGUCCCGAUGUUCUGUACUAAAAAAAUAAGACGACUAGGGUUUAUACAUGUCCGUCAGACCAUGGUCAAAGAAAGAGUUGACUAUUUAUUCAGCUAAACAUUUUCCUCUUUUCCCCACUUAUUUGAAAAGUUGAACAGUGUGGUGUAUUGCUGCUGGUAGUCAUCUGUUUAAUCGGAAAUACUUUUUUUUUUUGCCAGUUAAAAGAAAGGCUGGUAGAUUUACGUAGUUCAGAAACUUUGGCCCACCCUCGCACAUUUAGCGCAAAGAACAUGUGUACACAUACAAGCUGGAAAAGUUAGUGUUUAAGUUUCUCAUGUUUAGAUAAAAGUUGCUGUCGAAUAUUGCCAAUAAAAUGUCAAUGGAUGAGGUCAUUUACAUGUAUGCCCUUCACUAGGGGUGUGUUCCCUCCACCUGAGCUAACAUUGUGAUGAUUUACAUCAUGAAAUGAUGGUUUGAAGUAAUAUGUUGACAUCAUAAAAUGCCCACAACCUUUCAGUGGUCUGUCAUUCACUAUUAGCUGCUUUUUUAUGGAAAGCAGUUAUGAAGGUAAAUUCCACUGCAAAGCAAGUACAUGUACGUGUACUUCGAAGUUUUGUGAUCACUAUUGUGACUUGCACGAUCCUGCAUUAUUCUGGGCCAGAUUGAAUUGUCAUGAGUUGUUGGUCAUUGCAUGUAUCGGUACAUGUACGUAUUCAGGAUACAAACAUUCCUGAUGCAGGCCUGCCUAGGCUAUUGGGACUGUAAGUGCUGCAUGCAUAGAUAUAUAUUUUGGUCUUCACCCUUGUUCACGUGAAAGGAACACACCUCUAGUAACUGAAGCAGACCCCAGGAAAAUCCACACAUACAUGUACUUAAACAGUUUCCGACAUCAUUGUUUUUAGCUGAAAAGCUGGCUUUCGAAAGAGGGAAGUGCCACAAAAAGUCAUCUGUAUAGCACAAGUAUAUGUUUGAUUGUCACACAAACCUGAUACAUGUAAUUUGCAAACACUCUUGAGGCUCUACCAUGGGGCGAUACAAUAGGGCUGCAUAGAGCAGAUGUGGUGAGUAUGCAUGUCUGCCACUGAAGUCUCAGUAAACAGUUAAUGGUUAACCCUGUCAUCCUGAUUGUGUUUGCACAGCCUCUUA
Long non-coding RNA from Acanthaster planci (crown-of-thorns starfish), 7914 nucleotides. RefSeq lists it as uncharacterized. NCBI's taxonomy places the organism in Eukaryota, Metazoa, Echinodermata, Asteroidea, Valvatida, Acanthasteridae. The record is from RefSeq and is a predicted model, not a curated record.